This is a non-coding RNA of Jaminaea rosea, 106 nucleotides long. NCBI's taxonomy places the organism in Eukaryota, Fungi, Basidiomycota, Exobasidiomycetes, Microstromatales. The record is from the annotation of a RefSeq genome assembly.
GGCCGCUUGGCUCAAUGGUUAGAGUAUCUGCCUACGACUUCCGUAGACAUCCAGCUUGGCUGGGACGAUUAGCAGGGGGUUCCAGGUUCGAGUCCUGGAGUGGUCA